CAACAUGCAAAGCUAGCUAAAGGCAUGCUUGCCCCACAUUUUCUCAGCACUACUAGCUUCGUUUGAUGGUCGUUUGAUGCAUUGAUUAUGCUACAAUUUUCUCUUUCAAUGGACUCCCGAUGACACCCACAUCACAUGACCAGCUCCAACCAUGCUCCAAGCAUGCUCCAGUGCAUGCUUCAACCAGUUCCCAAAGCAAGAAUCUCGACUCAAGACGAAGACGUGACACUACUAUUCUUUCCAGUUCAUCUGCAAGAUUCCUGCUUUUUCUCUUUACCCAUUCAAAACACAUUUUUCUUCUAGCCAUAAUUUUAUUAUUUAGAAGUCAUGAAAAUGAAACAGUGCAAAAAUAAUCACUCUUUUCUGCUGUUUUAUGUCCAUCCUUUUGUAAAGUUAUAUCCUUGGCUUAGUUGUACCCAAGAAUAAUUAUGGAAUGAUUACCCGUCUUGCUUGAAAGUCUUUCAUGGAAUGUUUUUGCCUAUGCU
Molecule: long non-coding RNA, 485 nt
Filed under: Patiria miniata (bat star)
Lineage: Eukaryota; Metazoa; Echinodermata; Asteroidea; Valvatida; Asterinidae
Description: uncharacterized LOC119722570
Source: RNAcentral